This 464-nucleotide ribosomal RNA is filed under the name uncultured bacterium. RNAcentral's name for it is "partial 16S ribosomal RNA". It matches the Rfam family "Bacterial small subunit ribosomal RNA", at positions 28 to 507 of the family's 1533-position model. The record is from RNAcentral.
GACGAACGCUGGCGGCGUGCUUAACACAUGCAAGUCGUACGGUAAGGCCCUUUCGGGGGUACACGAGUGGCGAACGGGUGAGUACACGUGAGUAACCUGCCCACAACUUUGGGAUAACGCUAGGGAACUGGUGCUAAUACUGGAUAUGUGCUCCUGCUGCAUGGGGGGGGUUGGAAAGCUCCGGCGGUUGUGGAUGGACUCGCGGCCUAUCAGCUUGUUGGUGGGGUAGUGGCCUACCAAGGCGGCGACGGGUAGCCGGCCUGAGAGGGUGACCGGCCACAUUGGGACUGAGAUACGGCCCAGACUCCUACGGGAGGCAGCAGUGGGGAAUAUUGCACAAUGGGCGCAAGCCUGAUGCAGCAACGCCGCGUGCGGGAUGACGGCCUUCGGGUUGUAAACCGCUUUCAGCAGGGACGAAGCUUUUUGUGACGGUACCUGCAGAAGAAGCACCGGCUAACUACGUG